RNAcentral lists this ribosomal RNA (401 nucleotides) under Klebsiella pneumoniae. Its description in RNAcentral is "bacterial SSU rRNA". It matches the Rfam family "Bacterial small subunit ribosomal RNA", at positions 1143 to 1533 of the family's 1533-position model. Lineage: Bacteria; Pseudomonadati; Pseudomonadota; Gammaproteobacteria; Enterobacterales; Enterobacteriaceae. The record is from RNAcentral.
AGGAGACUGCCAGUGAUAAACUGGAGGAAGGUGGGGAUGACGUCAAGUCAUCAUGGCCCUUACGACCAGGGCUACACACGUGCUACAAUGGCAUAUACAAAGAGAAGCGACCUCGCGAGAGCAAGCGGACCUCAUAAAGUAUGUCGUAGUCCGGAUUGGAGUCUGCAACUCGACUCCAUGAAGUCGGAAUCGCUAGUAAUCGUAGAUCAGAAUGCUACGGUGAAUACGUUCCCGGGCCUUGUACACACCGCCCGUCACACCAUGGGAGUGGGUUGCAAAAGAAGUAGGUAGCUUAACCUUCGGGAGGGCGCUUACCACUUUGUGAUUCAUGACUGGGGUGAAGUCGUAACAAGGUAACCGUAGGGGAACCUGCGGUUGGAUCACCUCCUUACCUUAAAGAA